This 277-nucleotide long non-coding RNA is filed under the name Apteryx rowi (Okarito brown kiwi). RNAcentral's name for it is "lncRNA (ENSARWG00000002004.1)". The record is from RNAcentral. Lineage: Eukaryota; Metazoa; Chordata; Aves; Apterygiformes; Apterygidae.
GGUGUUCCUGGGCUGGAUCUGAGGCAAAUGAAAUGAAGUUGAAUGAUAUGAGUGGAAGUUGCACUCUCGAAAGAAAACCUGUCUGUUACGAAAGGAAGGCUGUCUGGUCAGCCUGUUAGCUGUUGGUCACACGCAUCUGGCCCGAAAACGGCAGGCAUCUGAAACUGCUUGGACCUGCUCAAGUCAACCUGCUCGAUCCACGGAUGCUGUAAACUGGGAGCUGGCCAAAGAGUGGGAGAACUCCAGGAUUCCUCCCCAGAAAAGGUUUGUCAUGUGA